Molecule: ribosomal RNA, 305 nt
Filed under: uncultured bacterium
Lineage: Bacteria
Description: bacterial SSU rRNA
Rfam family: Bacterial small subunit ribosomal RNA
Source: RNAcentral
UUAGCCUACGGGACGCAGCAGUGGGGAAUAUUGCACAAUGGGGGGAACCCUGAUGCAGCGACGCCGCGUGAGUGAAGAAGUAUUUCGGUAUGUAAAGCUCUAUCAGCAGGGAAGAAAAUGACGGUACCUGACUAAGAAGCCCCGGCUAACUACGUGCCAGCAGCCGCGGUAAUACGUAGGGGGCAAGCGUUAUCCGGAUUUACUGGGUGUAAAGGGAGCGUAGACGGCAGUGCAAGUCUGAAGUGAAAGGCAAGGGCUCAACCCUUGGACUGCUUUGGAAACUGUGCUGCUGGAGUGUCGGGGAG